GGAGCUGGGGCUCAGUGGUAGAGUGCUUGCCUCACAUGCUUGAGGCCUGAGUUCAAUCCUCAGCACCCCA
Molecule: transfer RNA, 70 nt
Filed under: Marmota monax (woodchuck)
Lineage: Eukaryota; Metazoa; Chordata; Mammalia; Rodentia; Sciuridae
Rfam family: tRNA
About the family: Transfer RNA (tRNA) molecules are approximately 80 nucleotides in length. Their secondary structure includes four short double-helical elements and three loops (D, anti-codon, and T loops).
Source: Rfam by way of RNAcentral